Long non-coding RNA from Actinia tenebrosa (Australian red waratah sea anemone), 635 nucleotides. RefSeq lists it as uncharacterized. The record is from RefSeq and is a predicted model, not a curated record. Lineage: Eukaryota; Metazoa; Cnidaria; Anthozoa; Actiniaria; Actiniidae.
AGUCAAUGGUCCCGUUUUCUCCUAGAUCUGGAUCUGUUGCUGUGUUGAUCGGGAACUCGAUCCCUACUGCUGUGGUUUCAAGUACUGGAAAUGAAAACGCUGGCGCUGGAAACGAUGUACGUGGAACGUCGUAACAGCCCCACAAAGCCAGAAAAUGCUCGAAAAAUAGUAAGAGAAUAGUAACCAUGCAGGAAUCGUGUGUGUCCAUGUUGUUCUCCACAAUCGCCUUGUUCGCAGUCUCGACUUUCCCUGACUACCCAUAGCUUAUACGUCCAUGGGUUUGGUUACAACAAGCUGAAGACAUAUUUAAAACAAAGAAUCGAGAUGUAGGAUGGUAUUCCUGGUCAUAUUUACUGCAGUAUAAGCUCUCCUUUAGUAAAUGAGCCGUUGAAGCGUUGCAUUGUCAAGCGUUUGUUUAAAUUACCGAGAAGAAUCACAUUCUGCAUUCAAGUCAAAUUAAUAGUAUUUUUUCCUUGGCUUCUGUUCUAGGCGAGCCAAAAUGUUGUACAGCUGUUUCCCCUGUGUUUAAAAUCAAAACAUCACCGAUUUAGGACAAUUUUAAACUGUAUUUUUCUUUUUAACGUUGUACUUAUUUUAUGCAAAUCAUGUCGAAUAAAAGAACAACCGGAAAAGAA